Molecule: long non-coding RNA, 375 nt
Filed under: Mus caroli (Ryukyu mouse)
Lineage: Eukaryota; Metazoa; Chordata; Mammalia; Rodentia; Muridae
Description: RIKEN cDNA 9130204K15 gene (MGP_CAROLIEiJ_G0004776.1)
Source: RNAcentral
AGUGAACAGUCCUCUUCUGCAGCCUGAGGAUCAAAAUGUAGAACCCUCAGCUCCUUCAACACCAUGCCUGUCUGGACACUGCCAUGCUUCCUGCCAUGAUAAUGGACUGAACCUCUGAAACUGUAAGCCACCCCAGUUAAAUGUUGCCCUCAUAAGAGUUUCAUUGGUCAUUGUGUCUCUUCAUAGCAAUAAAACCCUAACUAAGACAUUUCGAUUGUUGUGGCUGUCGCUGACAAAUGAGAGUGGAUUGGAGUGUCCACCCUGGCUGCCUGAGGGGUCACAUCACAGAAUGUCCUUAGUGAGUCUCCGAGGCACAGACUUCUGCAUGCCCAGGAAUGUUUUCCUUCACCCUCUCUGGAGGGUGGCUUUGCUGCA